Molecule: microRNA precursor, 83 nt
Organism: Callithrix jacchus (white-tufted-ear marmoset)
Lineage: Eukaryota; Metazoa; Chordata; Mammalia; Primates; Cebidae
Gene: cja-mir-302b
Product: cja-mir-302b
Source: Ensembl
UGGGCUCCCUUCAACUUUAACAUGGAAGUACUUUCUGUGACUUUAAAAGUAAGUGCUUCCAUGUUUUAGUAGAAGUGAAUCCA